CCUACGGGUGGCAGCAGUGAGGAAUAUUGGUCAAUGGCCGCAGGGCUGAACCAGCCAAGUCGCGUGAGGGAUGACGGUCCUAUGGAUUGUAAACCUCUUUUGUCAGGGAGCAAAGGGCGCCACGUGUGGCGCUUUGCGAGUACCUGAAGAAAAAGCAUCGGCUAACUCCGUGCCAGCAGCCGCGGUAAUACGGAGGAUGCGAGCGUUAUCCGGAUUUAUUGGGUUUAAAGGGUGCGCAGGCGGAAUGUCAAGUCAGCGGUAAAAUUUCGGGGCUCAACCCCGUCGUGCCGUUGAAACUGGCGUUCUGGAGGGGGCGAGAAGUAUGCGGAAGGCGUGGGGUAGCGGGGAAAUGCAUAGAUAUCACGCAGAACUCCGAUUGCGAAGGCAGCAUACCGGCGCCCGACUGACGCUGAGGCACGAAAGCGUGGGGAUCGAACAGGAUUAGAUACCCGGGUAGUC
This 459-nucleotide ribosomal RNA is filed under the name uncultured bacterium. RNAcentral describes it as "partial 16S ribosomal RNA". It matches the Rfam family "Bacterial small subunit ribosomal RNA", at positions 338 to 795 of the family's 1533-position model. The record is from RNAcentral.